UUGCGUGCCGUGUUGAAUGACAACUAAAAACUGAGGUUAUGUUCCUGUAAAUAUUGUCAAUUGAGUUUGUCAAUAUACGUGCUUAUUUAUUUCUGUGUUUUAGUACAGAAUUAAGUUGACAAGUUGUUACCUGGACAGUAUGGGUAUUAUGACCAUCUGCAGAGAUAAAAUGGACUGUCUGUCCCUUGCCCAUGUAUAAUUUAUCGUUACUGUAACUUAUACAUGCUUCAGACCCUACUCGGACAGAAAUUUCUUCACGAGGACAACUAUCGGUGUCACCACUGUUGGAGUCUGCAACCAUUGAGUCUUCCUCACCAUUUACACGGGCACCAUCUACACCAGAAAUAUAAUUUUCCAAACUAUCUACAUCGUCGACAUGUUCCCAUCCUCGCGAGAGUGACGGAAAAUCCACCAUCCCUUGGCCAUUGACCAGGACAUUAUGCCGAUAACCUCUUGAAUAUGUGGACCACCAGACGUAGUAAUGUGGAGCACGAGGUUCUUGAUAGUCAUUCUGAGCACACUCUACAGCAUUUUCAUGUUGUAUUGGAGUCUGAAUCGUCAGAAUCCGAUUAUGAUGGCUAUUCUGAGCAUACUCUGCAGCAUUUUCAUGUUGCAUCGGAAUAUUAAACACUCCGUCAAACAGUUCUUGGACACAGUUAUCCGGACAGACAACUCGAUCCCCCUCUCCGUCGGAAACAAGACAAACACGUUCUCGACCGGCCGUAAUCGAAGCGGACCCAUCCAGCUCAACCGAAGAAGACGACGAGUCACCGUCACCUUGUGGUGGAUUCCUCGACAAGGCAUCAGCAUUAGAAUUUAUCCUCCCAGGUUUUAGACUAUUACAUAGUCAUACUCACUAAGUUUUAUAUGCCAUCGAGUUAAUCUUGAAAUAGGAUCUUUCAACUCAUGCAACCAUACAAGAGGUCUAUUGUUUGUUACUAAAAAAAAACUUCACCCAUAUAAAUAAGGUCUAAAGUGUUUUACACAAAACACUAUUGCAAGUAACUCUUUUUGAAUUGUUGAAUAGUUGAUUUCAACUUUCUGAAGGAUUCUAGAAGAUAUGCAAUGGGUAAAUCCUGACUAAUAGGUCCCUGACUCAAAACACCACCAAGAGCGUAAUCCGAUGCAUCAGUUGUUAAUACAAAAGGUUUCGAGAAAUCAGGAUACUGCAAUAAGGGUUCCGAACAAAUUGUAUCUCGCAGAAUUUCAAAAGCUGAUUGCUGCUCAUUUUUGCAUUUAAAUUCGACCUUAUCUUUUAAAAGGAGACCAGUAGGCACAUGCUCUGGAGCAACGCAGAAUUUAUAGUAACCCUCUCGUAGAUAAACUUCAAUACAAAUCCAGCCUUCGCUCUAUCAUCAUAGAUACGACAUAGUUGUAGCGGUUCACAAUUCGGAUUCGAAAGGAGUUCAACCAAUGUCAUCAACAAGGGAUUUGGAUCAGUCAUUUCUAAAUAUAGUUUCUUACUAAUAAUGUUUUAAGUGACUAAAAUAGAUUUAAAAGUAAUUUUCACUUUUAUCUUUACACUGUUCCACUAUAAAAAGAGGGAAAAUAAACUCAAUUUAGUCUUCAGUGUUUAUCUGGCACUAGUUAUCACUUUCAAAUUUAAAUGUUCCCUCGGCGCACAGAAUCCCACCGCUGUCGCCAAUUUGUUACGUCUCUGGCGCUGUAGUAGAAUACUAAUUCUACUGUAGUCGGACGCUGAUUCAUUGUUGCCGUUGAAUGAUUAAAAUCAUAAUCGGGAGAACACACAGGGUUUAAAAUCAAAACUCGAUUUAGCUUGUCACUUUAAAGUAUAUUAUUAAAUGCAUUACAGUUAUUAAUGUUUCAUCGUUAUACACUAUGUGCACAUAUAAAUGUAUAUCUACCAAACAAUUUAGUUGGUUGUUACACAAUUUCUGAUUCACAAAUUUAUAAUUUGUUUUAUAAAAGUCGGCAAGAGCCGGUCGCGACUACUCGCUUCGCGUUUAAAUAGUUUUAAUGUUCUACUUUGAAACUUGACUUUAGUGAUGACUUCAUGGGAUUUUCCGAUCGUUUACCCAAUAAUAAAGUAGAUAAUUUUACUCCGCCUAUAGGAAAUGAGUCAUAAUGUGACUCAUUCGAUGAUUGAAAUAUAAACAUUCGUAAGUCCAAAGUCCUUAGUUAUUGCGUUUUACAUUUGUCUUAUUGCGCCUUAAUGUCAUAAUGGAUACUUAAAUAGUACUAUGACUCAUAUUUGGUACUAAGAAUAGCGAUGACCUAACGUUGCAUUUAUUCUAAGUAUAAUUAUUAUCCCGGUAACAAGUGUUGAAUUUAAAAAAAAUUAAGAAUAUGUAUUUCUAUGAAUAUGCGAUUUUUACUCCGUCUUAAAGUUCCCCAGCGGGAAUAAAAAAAGUGCAAAUCCUAUUCCUCUCAAUCAACUUAGUAAAAUUUAACGAAAGCAUUUAUUUAACCGAUUUUUU
Molecule: long non-coding RNA, 2438 nt
Organism: Belonocnema kinseyi
Lineage: Eukaryota; Metazoa; Arthropoda; Insecta; Hymenoptera; Cynipidae
Exons: 3
Source: RefSeq, a predicted model, not a curated record